GUAACAAGGUCUCCGUAGGUGAACCUGCGGAGGGAUCAUUACACAAAUAUGAAGGCGGGCUGGAACCUCUCGGGGUUACAGCCUUGCUGAAUUAUUCACCCUUGUCUUUUGCGUACUUCUUGUUUCCUUGGUGGGUUCGCCCACCACUAGGACAAACAUAAACCUUUUGUAAUUGCAAUCAGCGUCAGUAACAAAUUAAUAAUUACAACUUUCAACAACGGAUCUCUUGGUUCUGGCAUCGAUGAAGAACGCAGCGAAAUGCGAUAAGUAGUGUGAAUUGCAGAAUUCAGUGAAUCAUCGAAUCUUUGAACGCACAUUGCGCCCUUUGGUAUUCCAAAGGGCAUGCCUGUUCGAGCGUCAUUUGUACCCUCAAGCUUUGCUUGGUGUUGGGCGUCUUGUCUCUAGCUUUGCUGGAGACUCGCCUUAAAGUAAUUGGCAGCCGGCCUACUGGUUUCGGAGCGCAGCACAAGUCGCACUCUCUAUCAGCAAAGGUCUAGCAUCCAUUAAGCCUUUUUUCAACUUUUGACCUCGGAUCAGGUAGGGAUACCCGCUGAACUUA
This 559-nucleotide ribosomal RNA is filed under the name uncultured Alternaria. RNAcentral describes it as "eukaryotic LSU rRNA". The stretch from base 207 to 360 matches the Rfam family "5.8S ribosomal RNA". Lineage: Eukaryota; Fungi; Ascomycota; Dothideomycetes; Pleosporales; Pleosporaceae. The record is from RNAcentral.